AUACUUGCCUAGUGGGGAGAUACCAUGAUCACAAAAGUGGUUUUCCCAAGGGGAAACAUAUCCAUUGUAUUCUGGAUGUGCUGACCUCUGUAGUUUCCCCAAAUGUGGUGGUGGUGUGGGUCUGUGUC
RNAcentral lists this small nuclear RNA (128 nucleotides) under Erinaceus europaeus (western European hedgehog). RNAcentral's name for it is "U1 spliceosomal RNA (ENSEEUG00000023370.1)". It matches the Rfam family "U1 spliceosomal RNA". Rfam says of the family: U1 is a small nuclear RNA (snRNA) component of the spliceosome (involved in pre-mRNA splicing). Its 5' end forms complementary base pairs with the 5' splice junction, thus defining the 5' donor site of an intron. There are significant differences in sequence and secondary structure between metazoan and yeast U1 snRNAs, the latter being much longer (568 nucleotides as compared to 164 nucleotides in human). Lineage: Eukaryota; Metazoa; Chordata; Mammalia; Eulipotyphla; Erinaceidae. The record is from RNAcentral.